RNAcentral lists this transfer RNA (76 nucleotides) under Bos taurus (domestic cattle). It matches the Rfam family "tRNA". Rfam says of the family: Transfer RNA (tRNA) molecules are approximately 80 nucleotides in length. Their secondary structure includes four short double-helical elements and three loops (D, anti-codon, and T loops). RNAcentral also lists the same sequence under 3 other names. Lineage: Eukaryota; Metazoa; Chordata; Mammalia; Artiodactyla; Bovidae. The record is from Rfam by way of RNAcentral.
UCCCACAUGGUCUAUUGGUUAAGACUCUGCACUUCUUCCACUGCAAGGGGUGCAGGUUCGAUCCCUGGUGGGAGAA